AGAAUUCUGCCGCCGGGCAGAAAACAUUCGUUUCCAUGUCGUUAGGCCUUUGAAGACAUGCGGACGGAUGUUAUUUUUUU
This 80-nucleotide non-coding RNA is filed under the name unclassified sequences. The record is from RNAcentral.